AGGCUUUGAUCCUGGCUCAGGAUGAACGCUGGCGGCGUGCUUAACACAUGCAAGUCGAACGAACCUUCGGGUUAGUGGCGGACGGGUGAGUAACGCGUGAGAAUCUGCCCUCAGGAGGGGGAUAACGGCUGGAAACGGCCGCUAAUACCCCAUAUGCCGAGAGGUGAAACGAAUUUCGCCUGAGGAUGAGCUCGCGUCUGAUUAGCUAGUUGGUGGGGUAAAGGCCUACCAAGGCGACGAUCAGUAGCUGGUCUGAGAGGAUGAUCAGCCACACUGGGACUGAGACACGGACCCGACUCCUACGGGAGGCAGCAGUAAGGAAUAUUGGGCAAUGGACGGAAGUCUGACCCAGCCAUGCCGCGUGCAGGAAGAAGGCCCUAUGGGUUGUAAACUGCUUUUCUGAGGGAAGAAAAGUAUUUAUUUAUGGAUAUCGUUACGGUACCGU
RNAcentral lists this ribosomal RNA (445 nucleotides) under uncultured Synechococcus sp. Its description in RNAcentral is "bacterial SSU rRNA". It matches the Rfam family "Bacterial small subunit ribosomal RNA", at positions 8 to 481 of the family's 1533-position model. Lineage: Bacteria; Bacillati; Cyanobacteriota; Cyanophyceae; Synechococcales; Synechococcaceae. The record is from RNAcentral.